Molecule: unclassified non-coding RNA, 210 nt
Filed under: uncultured Sebacinales
Lineage: Eukaryota; Fungi; Basidiomycota; Agaricomycetes; Sebacinales
Description: sequence contains ITS2
Source: RNAcentral
UAAUCUCACUCCGACAGCUUUAUUGAUGUCUGGAGGUGGACUUGGGCCUUGCCGUGUCACAACGGCUGGUCUGAAAUGCAUGAGUGCACCCUGCUGUAGCAGCGUCUUCAGUGUGAUAAGUAUCUUCACUGAUUCAAGCUCCCUCCUCGGGACACGCUCGUCUGGUGGGCUCUGCGCUUCCAACCGUCCCCUGGUGGACAACUCUUGACA